CCCUCAGAGGGGAUGAACGUGGGGUGCUUUGUCAGGACUCCCUGAGGUGGGGGUCUGAGUUGGCUCUGGCAAUGAGGUUAGCCAAGAUGUUGCCCCUUAGGCCCCAUAAAAGCAAAGUCUCCCUUUUGGUCACAGUGCUGAGGUGCGCAGCAGGGCAGAGCAGUCCCGGUGUGUCUCGUGUCACUUGUCUUUUGUGUAUUGUGUGUUGCCUGGAUAUCUCAUGUCUCUUAUCUUAGCCCUGUGAGGGGCCUCUCAGAAACCUUUCCUAGCAUCCGUGAUCUCAGCGUUCCUCGCCCUGGCACUCAUGCCAUAGAUCUUUUGACUGGGGAGCUCACACAGGCAUCAGAAAUGCAUCUCUCUUUAGAAGCGUCCAGUCAAAUGUCUUGUCAUGUCUUGUUCUGAGCUGUACAGACAGCCAUGCUGCGCAAUGAUCCAUUAUAGCAGAGUAGGACUUGUAAGGAUGUGAGGUUAGGGAGAGGAUUCUGACUGUAGGAUUCUCGGGCAUCCAUCUUUGCAGUUUUUGGAAUAAAUCAUUCUGUUUGCAUCUUCUUCCUCCAGGGUUCUCUGAGCCUCAUCAGCUCGCCAUCAGCUUCAACUCUUCUUCUUUUGCAUUCUCUCAGUCCUUGCAGCCAUUUUCCUUGCUAAGAGAUUUCCGUUCCUGUUGUGUCCCCAGUGUUUGUCACGUCUUGUCUGUCCUGUGUCACGGGUGUCUGCACACAUUUGUGCUGGAGCUGCUGUUCUGCCCUGCUGCAUAUCCUGGUGCAAUAUGAGAAGUCUCAGGGACUUGGAAUUUGUAAUGUGUAGUUGGAUUCUAGAUGGGAUUUGUAGAUGGACACAGGAUACGUGGAGCCCAUAAGUUAUCCUGCAGCCCUUUCACUUUCAUCCUAACUUUCUUUUAGUUGCAGAAGGAUAAAUCCAGGGCAGAGCCCCCCAUUCUGGGUGAGGGGAUUCCCCUGUGAAGGUCAGUCACUGUUUGUCUCUGCAGAGGAAGCAUAAAUUGUGGCUGCUGCAGCUCUGCUCUUUGUCUUUAUUUUUAGGAAGUCAAGGCAGAGAGCAGCUGUCAAGGCUGAGUGGGCAAGAUGGACUGCUUGCCAUCUAUCCUAGCCCAGCAUGCCCAUGCCAGGUGCUGUCGCUGCCCUAGGCAUGCCGGGGAAGAGAGGAGGGCAGGUGACUCGGAGUUUAGGCGGGCUGAUU
This is a long non-coding RNA of Melospiza melodia melodia, 1194 nucleotides long. RefSeq lists it as uncharacterized. NCBI's taxonomy places the organism in Eukaryota, Metazoa, Chordata, Aves, Passeriformes, Passerellidae. The transcript is spliced from 3 exons. The record is from RefSeq and is a predicted model, not a curated record.